Molecule: long non-coding RNA, 1292 nt
Filed under: Gossypium barbadense (sea-island cotton)
Lineage: Eukaryota; Viridiplantae; Streptophyta; Magnoliopsida; Malvales; Malvaceae
Description: long non-coding RNA (GBAR_LNC010974)
Source: RNAcentral
CUUCUGUUAAGAAAUGGCUUAAAAUUGGUAGUGGAUUGUUGUUGUUGGUAGUGGGUUGUUGGUGGUAGUGGAUUAGUGGAUGGUUGUUGGUGUCCAUUUUCAACCACAAAUCUUUGCCAAAGUUUUGGACAAUUAUGUCCUUGAACUCUCUUAUAAAUAGAGAGGUUCAUUAGCCAUAUUCAUCAUCCCAAACCAAGAGAGAGCAAAGCUUGUUCUUUGAAAGCUAGGAUUUUAGCUUUCGGGUUUUCUAUAGGGGUUGAGAGUUGUGAGGUUCUCGGGUUGUGUCUUGAGUGCAGUUGGAAGCGUGAUGUAUGCAAUGGUUUGCACUCGUCCAGACAUUUCACAUGCAGUUAGUGUGGUCAGCAGAUACAUGAGUUGUCCUGGCAAGGAACACUGGCAGGCCGUGAAAUGGAUUCUCAGGUACUUGAGAGGUUCUGCAGAUUUAUGCUUGGUAUAUGAUCAGAGUGACUGCACUAGCAGUGUCACGGGCUAUGUGGACUCUGAUUAUGCUGGAGAUCUGGACAAAAGAAGAUCUCUGACGGGUUAUGUUUUCACUUAUUCUGGAGGAGCCAUUAGUUGGAAAGCUGUGUUACAGUCUACCGUAGCCUUAUCUACGACUGAGGCGGAAUAUAUGGCGUUAGCAGAAGCAGUGAAAGAAGCAUUGUGGAUGAAAGGUCUAGUAAGCAGUUUGGGUUUACAACAGGAUUUCACUGUUGUAUUUUGCGAUAGCCAGAGUGCCAUACAUCUGACUAAAAAUCAGAUGUUUCAUGAACGGACCAAACACAUUGAUGUCAGAUAUCAUUUUGUUCGGGAACAUGUUACGCAAGGUGACAUUGUUAUCAGCAAGGUUGCUACCGAGAAGAAUCCUGCAGAUAUGUUAACUAAGGUGAUCCCUGCAUAUAAGUUCAAGCAUUGCUUGGACUUGAUAGGUAUUCGGGAUUGAUUAGCGCCAGAGAGGCGUUUGGAAGAGGUGAUCCAGUUCGAGGAAUUCACUAUGAUGUUCAGCUUGGUAAAUUUCAAGCCAAGGUGGAGAUUUGUUAAGAAAUGGCUUAAAAUUGGUAGUGGAUUGUUGUUGUUGGUAGUGGGUUGUUGGUGGUAGUGGAUUAGUGGAUGGUUGUUGGUGUCCAUUUUCAACCACAAAUCUUUGCCAAAGUUUUGGACAAUUAUGUCCUUGAACUCUCUUAUAAAUAGAGAGGUUCAUUAGCCAUAUUCAUCAUCCCAAACCAAGAGAGAGCAAAGCUUGUUCUUUGAAAGCUAGGAUUUUAGCUUUCGGGUUUUCUAUAGGGGUUGAG